UAGCUCGCCUUUCUCGUCGUACAUGGCCGCAAGCCCGAGCUUGGCCGUCCGGGCUCCGCAUUACUUCGGGGAUGUCGUUGUCUUCCUAACCGGUGUCAAAAGUCUUUUUAGAGGCCGGGGGUGUUCGGUAGGAACUCCCCGUUUCGGUUGGGACGAAGAAGUCCUUUAGGUCUUUUUGUGCGGUUCAUCCUUCAUCUAUUCCCGUCGUAGUUCGUCAUCCUUCCUUUUUAAUUUUCCUCCUCUUCUCAGAGUGAGGGCCCUCCCCCCGCUUUUCGCGGGGUUGCAUAGAAGCGAGGAGGUGCCGCUGAGGGGCUUUUUCCUUUCAUCCGAUCUUGCUGGGCGGUCGGGUUUCGCCACCAUCAGCCCUUGCUGCAGAAGUCGCGGGUGGAGCCCGGCUCCCAUAGGAGUCUGGGUGGAGUCUUCCUUGGCAUUGUGGACGGAGCCCGGCUCCCGUAGGAGUCCGGGUGGAGUCUUCCUUGGCGUCGUGGAUGGAGCCCGGCUCCCGUAGGAGUUCGGGUGGAGUCUUCCUUGGCAUCGUGGACGGAGCCCGGCUCCCGUAGGAGUCCGGG
RNAcentral lists this long non-coding RNA (569 nucleotides) under Elaeis guineensis (African oil palm). RNAcentral describes it as "long non-coding RNA (EGUI_LNC035909)". The record is from RNAcentral. Lineage: Eukaryota; Viridiplantae; Streptophyta; Magnoliopsida; Arecales; Arecaceae.